UAGAGUGAUCGAAAGAUGAAAAGCACUUUGGAAAGAGAGUUAAAAAGCACGUGAAAUUGUUGAAAGGGAAGGGCAUGCAACCAGACUUGUUAGCGGUGUUCCGCUGGUCUUUUGACCGGUCUACUCGCCGCUGACAGGCCAGCAUCACCUGGGUGCGCUGGAUAAAGGCAUGGGGAAUGUAGCUCCUCGGAGUGUUAUAGCCCUGCGCACAAUACAGCGUCGCCCGGGUGAGGUCCGCGCUUCGGCUAGGAUGCUGGCGUAAUGGUUGUCUGCCGCCCGUCUUGAAACACGGACCAAGGAGUCUAACAUCUAUGCGAGUGUUCGGGUGUCAAACCCCUACGCGUAAUGAAAGUGAACGGAGGUGGGAGCUUCGGCGCACCAUCGACCGAUCCUGAUGUCCUCGGAUGGAUUUGAGUAAGAGCAUAGCUGUUGGGACCCGAAAGAUGGUGAACUAUGCCUGAAUAGGGUGAAGCCAGAGGAAACUCUGGUGGAGGCUCGCAGCGGUUCUGACGUGCAAAUCGAUCGUCAAAUUUGGGUAUA
This 540-nucleotide ribosomal RNA is filed under the name Teratosphaeriaceae sp. 2 APMD-2016. RNAcentral describes it as "eukaryotic LSU rRNA". It matches the Rfam family "Eukaryotic large subunit ribosomal RNA", at positions 349 to 919 of the family's 3401-position model. RNAcentral also lists the same sequence under 1 other name. The record is from RNAcentral. Lineage: Eukaryota; Fungi; Ascomycota; Dothideomycetes; Mycosphaerellales; Teratosphaeriaceae.